This 301-nucleotide ribosomal RNA is filed under the name uncultured bacterium. Its description in RNAcentral is "partial 16S ribosomal RNA". It matches the Rfam family "Bacterial small subunit ribosomal RNA", at positions 509 to 807 of the family's 1533-position model. The record is from RNAcentral.
CAGCAGCCGCGGUAAUACAGAGGGUGCAAGCGUAAAUCGGAUUUACUGGGCGUAAAGGGCGCGUAGGUGGUUAUUUAAGUGAGAUGUGAAAGCCCCGGGCUUAACCUGGGAACUGCAUCUUAUACUGGGUAACUGGAGUGCAGUAGAGGGUAGUGGAAUUUCCGGUGUAGCGGUGAAAUGCGUAGAUAUCGGAAGGAACACCAGUGGCGAAGGCGGCUACCUGGACUGAGACUGACACUGAGGCGCGAGAGCGUGGGGAGCAAACAGGAUUAGAGACCCCAGUAGUCCCUGUCUCUUAUAC